Long non-coding RNA from Rhineura floridana, 1138 nucleotides. RefSeq lists it as uncharacterized. Lineage: Eukaryota; Metazoa; Chordata; Lepidosauria; Squamata; Rhineuridae. The transcript is spliced from 3 exons. The record is from RefSeq and is a predicted model, not a curated record.
CUCUGAGCCUGUUUUUUAGCCCUUCCUGGGAGGCUCCUUCAGGAUCCCAUCCUCAACAAGGAAAGGCUGGCUGUGGCUCUUAGGUAUUUGGUCAAUAGAAUUAUCUGCAUACUGUGGAUGGUGAAGGAUGGGAGUUGGGAGAAACUGAGAGAUAGUGGAUUGCCUAAAGAUUAUCCUGGGAACUGAGGACAGGAUGAAAGGAGAAGAAUGAAGGGUUAGCCUGGACAAGAUGUACCUCAAGAAAAAUGCAGCAUUUUGCAAGCUGACCUCAGACAUCGCAGUUUGGGAACCACUGAUCUAUAGCUAACAAAAGAAGAACUUUAAAAUAAAGGAACCCGCACCACCACAUCUCCUUCUUACUGGUUACCAUGUGUGCGGAUAGUGCUAUUACAUAGUUCAGUCACUAGGUGGCACUGGAUUUAAUUGUAGUUGUGUUAACUCAGCAGUUUCCUGUGGUUAUUCUGCUCUUGUUGGAGAGAGACAAUAGUGUUCUAGUUUAGCUUCCUGAAUUGUAUGUUAUUUUCAGCUCUCAGUGACACUGGCUUGUCCUUCACUCCAGAACUGGGAAGAACAUGUAUAAGUUAUAUAGCUUUUUUCUGCUUUUCCUUUAUGAAUCGAUUGUUUUAAAUAUAUUAUUUGACAUAAGUUUGAAAUUGGGCAGGCUAUAAAUAUUUCAGUAAAUAAAUAAAUAAAGCAUUUCCCACCUUUGUGCCAUAAACACAUUUCUGUUUUAGUGUAAGGCAGCUGAGGUUGCCAUUUCAGCAAGUAAGAAAUCCUGUACAGAGAAUAAUCACCGAGGUGCUUAAGGAAAGAACUCUGUCAAAGCAUUUGCUGUUCAUAGUGGGCAGACAGACCCUCACUCCGUUCACAGUAUGGCCCCUUUUAGUUGCCACCAAGGCACUAUGCUGUGCUAAUUCUGUGCUGGAGUUCAGUAUUUAGUGAGGUGCAUAAAGGAUCUUGUCUUGAAGUUCACUAAUAUGUGUGGCCGGCAGGGCCCACUCCAAAGAAAACGACUUCAAGCCCGGAAUCCUUAAUCCCAAACUGCUCAGUGCCUGUUUUAUUCCAUUUCGUAUGAUUUAACGCCAUGAGGAUGCCAUGAAUCACUUUCAGUGUUGUGUACAUUUUAUACCCCUCUGAA